This 253-nucleotide ribosomal RNA is filed under the name uncultured bacterium. Its description in RNAcentral is "partial 16S ribosomal RNA". It matches the Rfam family "Bacterial small subunit ribosomal RNA", at positions 524 to 776 of the family's 1533-position model. The record is from RNAcentral.
UACGGGGGGGGUAAGCGUUGUUCGGAAUUACUGGGCGUAAAGGGCUCGUAGGCGGCCAACUAAGUCGGACGUGAAAUCCCUCAGCUUAACUGGGGAACUGCGUCCGAUACUGGAUGGCUUGGAUUUGGGAGAGGGAUGCGGAAUUCCAGGUGUAGCGGCGAAAUGCGUAGAUAUCUGGAGGAACACCGGUGGCGAAGGCGGCAUCCUGGACCAAUAUUGACGCUGAGGAGCGAAAGCUAGGGGAGCAAACGGG